This 253-nucleotide ribosomal RNA is filed under the name uncultured bacterium. RNAcentral's name for it is "partial 16S ribosomal RNA". It matches the Rfam family "Bacterial small subunit ribosomal RNA", at positions 524 to 776 of the family's 1533-position model. The record is from RNAcentral.
CACGUAGGGCGCAAGCGUUGUCCGGAAUUAUUGGGCGUAAAGAGCUCGUAGGCGGUCUGUUACGUCUGCUGUGAAAACCCGGGGCUUAACCCUGGGCUUGCAGUGGAUACGGGCAGACUAGAGGCAGGUAGGGGAGAAUGGAAUUCCCGGUGUAGCGGUGAAAUGCGCAGAUAUCGGGAGGAACACCGGUGGCGAAGGCGGUUCUCUGGGCCGAAACUGACGCUGAGGAGCGAAAGCGUGGGUAGCAAACAGG